CCUACGGGUGGCAGCAGUGGGGAAUAUUGCACAAUGGGGGAAACCCUGAUCCAGCGACGCCGCGUGAGCGAAGAAGUAUUUCGGUAUGUAAAGCUCUAUCAGCAGGGAAGAAAAUGACGGUACCUGACUAAGAAGCCCCGGCUAACUACGUGCCAGCAGCCGCGGUAAUACGUAGGGGGCAAGCGUUAUCCGGAUUUACUGGGUGUAAAGGGAGCGUAGACGGCGGCGCAAGUCAGAUGUGAAAUCCCGGGGCUCAACCCCGGAACUGCAUUUGAAACUGUGCUGCUGGAGUGUCGGAGAGGCAGGCGGAAUUCCUAGUGUAGCGGUGAAAUGCGUAGAUAUUAGGAGGAACACCAGUGGCGAAGGCGGCCUGCUGGACGAUAACUGACGUUGAGGCUCGAAAGCGUGGGGAGCAAACAGGAUUAGAUACCCUUGUAGUC
RNAcentral lists this ribosomal RNA (440 nucleotides) under uncultured bacterium. RNAcentral describes it as "partial 16S ribosomal RNA". It matches the Rfam family "Bacterial small subunit ribosomal RNA", at positions 338 to 795 of the family's 1533-position model. The record is from RNAcentral.